UGCGUAGGUGGCCUUUUAAGUUGGAUGUGAAAUACCCGGGCUUAACUUGGGGGUGCAUCUAAUACUGGAAGGCUAGAGUGCAGGAGAGGGAAGCGGAAUUCCUAGUGUAGCGGUGAAAUGCGUAGAUAUUAGGAGGAACACCAGUGGCGAAGGCGGCUUUCUGGACUGUAACUGACACUGAGGCACGAAAGCGUGGGGAGCAAACA
Molecule: ribosomal RNA, 206 nt
Filed under: uncultured Bacillota bacterium
Lineage: Bacteria; Bacillati; Bacillota
Description: uncultured Firmicutes bacterium partial 16S ribosomal RNA
Rfam family: Bacterial small subunit ribosomal RNA
Source: RNAcentral